CUUCUCCUCUUCUUUAAUCUCUCUCUGAUGAUGAGAAUGUAUUCUUUGUGCUUUUCUAAUUUAGGUCUCUGUCUCCUCUUAUUGUAGGUUAUCAAUCUUCUUCAUCGCCAUAGGAUCUCAUAUUUGAAGCUCAUCUUCAAAGGUGUGUCGUCUAGUGGAUGUCAAUGAGUUUCUGGGAAGCUCAAUAGAGGUUGAAGUGGGAGUGAAGAAAUCCAAGUCACUCCAAACCUCCUUGUUGAUGAACUCUUAGCUAAAUGCAAGUUAUAAAUUGCACAUUUGAUUCCCCUACCCUUGCUUUUUCCUGAUGAAGGAACCGGCCGUUCUACUCCUCCUACAUAGUGAUUGACUUUGGAAUCAAUAUUUGGACUGAAGUGGAAAAUGGUAGAGGCAAAGAGCACAGACUGCACAUUAUUUAUUUUGGAAAACUUGGAGCAGAUGCUACCUUUCUGUAUAUGGUUACAAAUUUCUACUAGACAAACACAAUUUACAGAAAGCCACGAGGAACAUCAUUUAAUUGUUGUAGCAGAAAGAAUGUUUUCCUCAUAGCUGCUGAAUGUCAGCAUGUAGAGGCAAAGAACACAUUUCACACCUUUUAUUUUGGACAAGUUGAAGCACAUCUUAUGCUGGUCAAUAUGGUUACAAAGUGCUAUUAGACAACCACAACUUACAGAAAGCCAUAACGAACAUCAUUUAAUUAUUGUUGUCAACAUAAAAUAUUGCUCAUACCUCCUGCAUGUCAGCCAGACUCUGUUCAUGAAUUUUAGUUGAACCAGGGAGAUAAACAGAACCACCUCCAAGGCCAUUUUGAACACGGCAUAUGGUGAGCAGAUUCUGAACCCUCCUAGAAAGUUCAGCUCCAGAACCUUUUAACUGUAAGUUGUGUCUAAUUGUCAGGAAGUCUAGACCUCCAGAAAGCACUCAAUAAGUUAACAGACUAGACUACUAACCUGUCUCGUGAUGCCUGUCAACCUCUCCACCAAUUCAGCUUCUCUUUUCAUCAAAGGCAAUCGACAACCUUUACCUUGAAGUGCCUCUAGUAUUCUCAUCACCUGUAGUGCAGGAUAGUGCAAACAAGAAUCUAAUGCAAUUAUCUAACUGUAAGCGAAAAACAGGAUGGUGGUGAUCUCCGAACACCAAUGAAAAGGAGACAUCUUGCAAAAUAGAUGCUUAGCUAAUUUGGUUCAAGCAUGUGACAUUUACAAAUUAUGCCGAAAGAGCAUGUUUGCAAGUUUCUACUAAUAGAAAAUUAAUAUUAUAAGAAAGGCCAAAUAAGAAUCGCACCCUCAAAAGGCGUCUUUGAAGACCUUGCUCUUUGUGUCUCAUUCUUUCAAUCCAAGGAAGGGUAUCAGCUUGGAAAUGCCUUUGCAGCUACAUUUAUUGAAGGUCAAGCCAACAAGGACAGUGCAAUGCAGACAUUAAAAGACACAUUAUGACAAUAUGCAGGCACAUUAUUAGAGAGGAGAAAGGAGACGAACCAUUUUCACAUUGCUCUGCGUCAUUUGCAGCCUCUCAGCAUCUGAAACUAUUACUUCAUCUUGAAGCUACAUGAAUUCAAUUGCGAAAUAUUAAUUACCAGGAACCAGGCCUCCCACCCCGAGGCCCAAAACUUUAGGGGAAAAUAGAACCAAAUGAAAGGUCACAUGAUUAAAUGAGAAAUUGUAAUGCAAAGGCAUCUCAGAUGAUUGAAAUGUCUUCUCAGAUACGGGCUUAGUCAUGAAAAGGUGAGAACUAGAAUACAUUAACCGCACCGACAAAAAUUAAAUAAUUUAACUAGUUAUAACAAAAAGAAGGUUUUAUUAAGUGGAGAAAUGAACAAAAUUGAACUAACUCUGUAUAUUACUUUUGAACAGCUCACAUAAGAGAUUGCGGAACUUUUAGGCAGUAUUUCAAGUACUCAUUCUGAAGCAUUAGAAGAGGCUCAAAGCUUCUAGAAACCGGAUUCAAUGUCACAGCCCUCAUUCCCUAUACCAUCAAUUAACUAACUUCUGUAGGUAUAACACUGGGGACCGAGUGCACUGCUUUUUUAAGCGGCAACAUAAUGAUACACAUCAAGAUGUACAUGUCAAUUUCAGAAUGUCACGGAUGCUACAAUGGUCGUAAGUGGAAAGCCAUCGAGCUCGAGCAUUAGCAAAAAAGCCUAAUCGGACGAUUUAACAUUAUAGCAUACCAAGAUGCUCGAGUCAAUUCGUCAGGGUACUCAGAAUGGUGACGGUGCUAAGAAGAUCCAUCAACAGGGUAAGUUCAGUUGACAUGUAUCCCGAAGUAGGGAUUUCUCAGGCAAGGGUUCUCGUGGUUAUCAUGGUAGACCAGUGCAUGCAGCUUUAUAGGGUUCAGAUAGUAGGUUUGUGGUUCCUGUGGUGUCAGGUAGUCUGGAAUAAGGUUACGCGAGUAGAGGCUCCAGUGUUGGUAGUGUUGGUUCUUCAGGACAGGAAAGUCGCUUUGGUUCCUUUGGGCCCUCUCGGCUUGAGUCUGGUAACCGAGCCUGUUACGUAUGUGAGGAUAUUAGCCACAUGGCUAGGGACUAUCCUCGGCGAGUGUAUGGUUCUGUCCAGCAAGGUUCUCAGCUUCAACUUUGUCCUACUCUUAUUGUUGCGGUUAGAGGUGGUUCACAGAGUGGCAAGGGUAGUACUAGGAUGCUCGAGGUGGAGCUCGGGGAGAUCGUGGUAGAGGACGCAGGGUUGCUCAGUCUAGGAGUAGAUAUGGUCAGCGCUAUGCUAUACUUGGGGGACUCAGGCAGAGGCCUCUGAUGCAGUUAACAGAGGUAUCUUCCCGGUUUUCCAUCGUUCUGCUUCCGUGUUAUUUGAUCCUGGUCUACAUUCUCCUAUGUAUCAUUAGCUUUCUUUUGACGCGUAGAUUAUGUUUUUAAUAGUUUUAGCUUGUGUCGAGACCAUUCGAGAGGGAAAGGCUCCGCAUUGAAGGUUCUAGGCUUGGAUUUUCAGCUUAUCGAGGUAGGUUAUGGCUUAACUUAAUUCAGACUAGACUGGGCAAUUAACAAACAUGUAAAGUAAGAUAUAGGUUGGGGAGAUAUCCAUGGGAUUUAUAUUGCGAGAUCAUUAUUAUUAUUGCGUGCACGUGUGGGGGUUUAUUUGCAUA
Capsicum annuum is the source of this 3093-nucleotide long non-coding RNA. RefSeq lists it as uncharacterized. NCBI's taxonomy places the organism in Eukaryota, Viridiplantae, Streptophyta, Magnoliopsida, Solanales, Solanaceae. The transcript is spliced from 5 exons. The record is from RefSeq and is a predicted model, not a curated record.